Molecule: ribosomal RNA, 703 nt
Filed under: uncultured bacterium
Lineage: Bacteria
Description: bacterial SSU rRNA
Rfam family: Bacterial small subunit ribosomal RNA
Source: RNAcentral
UAACACGUAAGCAACCUGCCUAUCAGAGGGGAACAACAGUUAGAAAUGACUGCUAAUACCGCAUAUGCCAUGAAUAUCACAUGAUAUAAAUGGGAAAGGAGCAAUCCGCUGAUAGAUGGGCUUGCGUCUGAUUAGAUAGUUGGUGGGGUAACGGCCUACCAAGUCGACGAUCAGUAGCCGGACUGAGAGGUUGAACGGCCACAUUGGGACUGAGAUACGGCCCAGACUCCUACGGGAGGCAGCAGUCGGGAAUAUUGCGCAAUGGAGGAAACUCUGACGCAGUGACGCCGCGUGCAGGAAGAAGGUUUUCGGAUUGUAAACUGCUUUAGACAGGGAANAUNNUGACAGUACCUGUAGAAUAAGCUCCGGCUAACUACGUGCCAGCAGCCGCGGUAAUACGUAGGGAGCAAGCGUUAUCCGGAUUUAUUGGGUGUAAAGGGUGCGUAGACGGGAAGACAAGUUGGUUGUGAAAUCCCUCGGCUUAACUGAGGAACUGCAACCAAAACUAUCUUUCUUGAGUGCUGGAGAGGAAAGUGGAAUUCCUAGUGUAGCGGUGAAAUGCGUAGAUAUUAGGAGGAACACCAGUGGCGAAGGCGACUUUCUGGACAGUAACUGACGUUGAGGCACGAAAGUGUGGGGAGCAAACAGGAUUAGAUACCCUGGUAGUCCACACCGUAAACGAUGGAUACUAGGUGUAGGGUGU